GAUGAACGCUGGCGGCGUGCCUAAUACAUGCAAGUCGAGCGAACGGACGAGAAGCUUGCUUCUCUGAUGUUAGCGGCGGACGGGUGAGUAACACGUGGAUAACCUACCUAUAAGACUGGGAUAACUUCGGGAAACCGGAGCUAAUACCGGAUAAUAUUUUGAACCGCAUGGUUCAAAAGUGAAAGACGGUCUUGCUGUCACUUAUAGAUGGAUCCGCGCUGCAUUAGCUAGUUGGUAAAGUAACGGCUUACCAAGGCAACGAUGCAUAGCCGACCUGAGAGGGUGAUCGGCCACACUGGAACGGAGACACGGUCCAGACUCCUACGGGAGGCAGCAGUAGGGAAUCUUCCGCAAUGGGCGAAAGCCUGACGGAGCAACGCCGCGUGAGUGAUGAAGGUCUUCGGAUCGUAAAACUCUGUUAUUAGGGAAGAACAUAUGUGUAAGUAACUGUGCACAUCUUGACGGUACCUAAUCAGAAAGCCACGGCUAACUACGUG
Molecule: ribosomal RNA, 497 nt
Filed under: uncultured bacterium
Lineage: Bacteria
Description: partial 16S ribosomal RNA
Rfam family: Bacterial small subunit ribosomal RNA
Source: RNAcentral